UGCUCUGUGAGAUCAUUGGCUAACGGCUGAGUAACGCGUGAGCAACCUGCCCCUGACUCUGGGAUAAGCGCUGGAAACGGCGUCUAAUACUGGAUACGAGUAGCGACCGCAUGGUCAGUUACUGGAAAGAUUUAUUGGUUGGGGAUGGGCUCGCGGCCUAUCAGCUUGUUGGUGAGGUAAUGGCUCACCAAGGCGUCGACGGGUAGCCGGCCUGAGAGGGUGACCGGCCACACUGGGACUGAGACACGGCCCAGACUCCUACGGGAGGCAGCAGUGGGGAAUAUUGCACAAUGGGCGCAAGCCUGAUGCAGCAACGCCGCGUGAGGGAUGACGGCCUUCGGGUUGUAAACCUCUUUUAGCAGGGAAGAAGCGAAAGUGACGGUACCUGCAGAAAAAGCGCCGGCUAACUACGUGCGAGCAGCCGCGGUAAUACGUAGGGCGCAAGCGUUAUCCGGAAUUAUUGGGCGUAAAGAGCUCGUAGGCGGUUUGUCGCGUCUGCUGUGAAAUCCGGAGGCUCAACCUCCGGCCUGCAGUGGGUACGGGCAGACUAGAGUGCGGUAGGGGAGAUUGGAAUUCCUGGUGUAGCGGUGGAAUGCGCAGAUAUCAGGAGGAACACCGAUGGCGAAGGCAGAUCUCUGGGCCGUAACUGACGCUGAGGAGCGAAAGGGUGGGGAGCAAACAGGCUUAGAUACCCUGGUAGUCCACCCCGUAAACGUUGGGAACUAGUUGUGGGGUCCAUUUCACGGAUUCCGUGACGCAGCUAACGCAUUAAGUUCCCCGCCUGGGGAGUACGGCCGCAAGGCUAAAACUCAAA
RNAcentral lists this ribosomal RNA (814 nucleotides) under Microbacterium phyllosphaerae. RNAcentral describes it as "bacterial SSU rRNA". It matches the Rfam family "Bacterial small subunit ribosomal RNA", at positions 80 to 905 of the family's 1533-position model. Lineage: Bacteria; Bacillati; Actinomycetota; Actinomycetes; Micrococcales; Microbacteriaceae. The record is from RNAcentral.